Molecule: ribosomal RNA, 261 nt
Filed under: uncultured prokaryote
Description: partial 16S ribosomal RNA
Rfam family: Bacterial small subunit ribosomal RNA
Source: RNAcentral
UACGUAGGUGGCAAGCGUUAUCCGGAAUUAUUGGGCGUAAAGAGCGCGCAGGUGGUUGAUUAAGUCUGAUGUGAAAGCCCACGGCUUAACCGUGGAGGGUCAUUGGAAACUGGUCGACUUGAGUGCAGAAGAGGGAAGUUGAAUUCCAUGUGUAGCGGUGAAAUGCGUAGAGAUAUGGAGGAACACCAGUGGCGAAGGCGGCUUCCUGGUCUGUAACUGACGCUGAGGCUCGAAAGCGUGGGGAGCAAACAGGAUUAGAUA